AUUGAACGCUGGCGGCAGGCCUAACACAUGCAAGUCGAACGGUAACAGGAAGCAGCUUGCUGCUUUGCUGACGAGUGGCGGACGGGUGAGUAAUGUCUGGGAAACUGCCCGAUGGAGGGGGAUAACUACUGGAAACGGUAGCUAAUACCGCAUAACGUCGCAAGACCAAAGAGGGGGACCUUAGGGCCUCUUGCCAUCGGAUGUGCCCAGAUGGGAUUCGCUAGUAGGUGGGGUAACGGCUCACCUAGGCGACGAUCCCUAGCUGGUCUGAGAGGAUGACCAGCCACACUGGAACUGAGACACGGUCCAGACUCCUACGGGAGGCAGCAGUGGGGAAUAUUGCACAAUGGGCGCAAGCCUGAUGCAGCCAUGCCGCGUGUAUGAAGAAGGCCUUCGGGUUGUAAAGUACUUUCAGCGGGGAGGAAGGGAGUAAAGUUAAUACCUUUGCUCAUUGACGUUACCCGCAGAAGAAGCACCGGCUAACUCCGUG
Molecule: ribosomal RNA, 490 nt
Filed under: uncultured bacterium
Lineage: Bacteria
Description: partial 16S ribosomal RNA
Rfam family: Bacterial small subunit ribosomal RNA
Source: RNAcentral